This 253-nucleotide ribosomal RNA is filed under the name uncultured bacterium. Its description in RNAcentral is "partial 16S ribosomal RNA". It matches the Rfam family "Bacterial small subunit ribosomal RNA", at positions 524 to 776 of the family's 1533-position model. The record is from RNAcentral.
UACAGGGGGUGCAAACGUUGCUCGGAAUUACUGGGCGUAAAGCGCGCGCAGGCGGUCCUUCAAGUCAGGGGUGAAAGCCCAGGGCUCAACCCUGGAAUGGCCUUUGAGACUAGAGGACUUGGGUACGGGAGAGGUGAGUGGAAUUCCGAGUGUAGAGGUGAAAUUCGUAGAUAUUCGGAAGAACACCAGUGGCGAAGGCGGCUCACUGGCCCGUUACCGACGCUCAGGCGCGACAGCGUGGGGAGCAAACAGG